AUCACAGAGGAACCCCCUGCAGCCCCAGCCCCUCUGGCCUGGUCAGUCCUGGGUCCUGCCUGCUGGGUCAGUGCAGCUCACAGCCACCAAGGAGGGGCUUUGAGAAACCAUGUAGCCCUCAUAUAUUUUAAAGCUGACAUCUAAAAGUUAUCAUUACAAUGUUAACUGCUUGCAAAGGAUGUCGUUUCUGCAUAUUGUGAAUACGCGCACCUUUAAAGUGAAAGGUUACAUCAUUCCUUCGAGGGCAUCCAGUGGGAUAUCAAGUCCAAAGCAAGACCCUCAACAUCUGCCUACAAAACCCCCAACAGCGCUCUGGAAACAAACUGGCUGGAAGCACCAGAGCGACUGGAAAGCCUGUAUUCCGGCGUUUAGUUUUCUCCAUUUCUACAAAGAGAUGUUUGCUCUUCUGAUAUGGGUAAAGACAGAGCCAGCUGGAUCUCAAAGACAUCCAGAAUGAGAUAUCUUCACAUCCCUCAUCCCAGCCGCCAUCGGCUCCAGUCUAGGCGCCUGCACCUGCUUCUACCCUCCUCCCGACUCCCAACCUGGCCUCCAUGUACCAGCAAGCACCCAGAGAUUCAUGGGAAACUACAAGGAUGGAGCAGGACCCUCCUCUGCACUUCCUCGCUGGUGUCAAAGCCACAGUCCUUGCAGGGAUGCAGAGGCUCUACCUCCCUUAUCCCCUUGGUCAUUCUGCUCCAGCCACGUGGGCCUCCUGCUGUUCCCAAACCUGCCUGCUUCCCGGUCUCUGUACUGGCUGUUCCCUCUGGUGGGAACACUCUUCCCUCACUAACUCCCUCACCUCCUUCCAACAGGCUUUGCCCAGAAGUCACCUCCUCCGUGAGGCCCACCCUGACCACCAGUUUGCAUCUUUCCUUCCCUAGCAGGACUCACUUUCUAGCACAUGAUGAAAUUCGCUUAUUUAUUCUUUAUUGUGUUUAUUGUCUGUCUCCUUGCAUUAGAACUGGUCCCCAAGAGGACAGGAUGUCUGUUUUGUUCACGGCUAUCUUCCAUACACCCUGAACAGUGCCUGGCACACAGUAAAUGCUCAAUAAAUA
Non-coding RNA from Macaca mulatta (Rhesus monkey), 1055 nucleotides. The record is from RefSeq and is a predicted model, not a curated record. NCBI's taxonomy places the organism in Eukaryota, Metazoa, Chordata, Mammalia, Primates, Cercopithecidae.